GAUAUGCUUUGGGGAGCUGUAAGUAAGCUUUGAUCCAGAGAUUUCCGAAUGGGGAAACCCAGCAUGAGUUAUGUCAUGUUAUCGAUAUGUGAAUACAUAGCAUAUCAGAAGGCACACCCGGAGAACUGAAACAUCUUAGUACCCGGAGGAAGAGAAAGAAAAUUCGAUUCCCUUAGUAGCGGCGAGCGAAACGGGAAGAGCCCAAACCAACAAGCUUGCUUGUUGGGGUUGUAGGACACUCUAUACGGAGUUACAAAGGACGACAUUAGACGAAUCAUCUGGAAAGAUGAAUCAAAGAAGGUAAUAAUCCUGUAGUCGAAAAUGUUGUCUCUCUUGAGUGGAUCCUGAGUACGACGGAGCACGUGAAAUUCCGUCGGAAUCUGGGAGGACCAUCUCCUAAGGCUAAAUACUCUCUAGUGACCGAUAGUGAACCAGUACCGUGAGGGAAAGGUGAAAAGCACCCCGGAAGGGGAGUGAAAUAGAACCUGAAACCGUGUGCUUACAAGUAGUCAGAGCCCGUUAAUGGGUGAUGGCGUGCCUUUUGUAGAAUGAACCGGCGAGUUACGAUUUGAUGCAAGGUUAAGC
RNAcentral lists this ribosomal RNA (585 nucleotides) under Staphylococcus aureus. RNAcentral's name for it is "partial 23S ribosomal RNA". It matches the Rfam family "Bacterial large subunit ribosomal RNA", at positions 70 to 651 of the family's 2925-position model. The record is from RNAcentral. Lineage: Bacteria; Bacillati; Bacillota; Bacilli; Caryophanales; Staphylococcaceae.